Molecule: long non-coding RNA, 1466 nt
Organism: Aphis gossypii (cotton aphid)
Lineage: Eukaryota; Metazoa; Arthropoda; Insecta; Hemiptera; Aphididae
Exons: 3
Source: RefSeq, a predicted model, not a curated record
UUGUGUUCUGGUACGAAUAAAUCUUACUUGGCGACUGACAGUUUAAAAUAACAGUUAUAAUAAUAUAUAUUUAUAUUAUAUAAAUAUAUACGUAUAAAAAUUUAGAAUUAAUUUUUUUGAAUGGAUUAUUGUUUUUUUACAUCUGAAGCUAUCAUCAGAACCAUACUUGAUACAACUGAAGGGAACUUUAACUCCCAUAUUUCUAUUAUUAUAGAAGAAUAUUAAUAGUAGUAUCAGAUUAUAGAAUUGUUGGCAUGACUAAGAUGUAUGAGCUGCAGCAGAUGUGGUCGAGAAAAGUUUCUUAAAAAUGGAAUAUACAUAUUAUAUAAUAAACGUAUAAUAACCACCACCCACAAUAGCAGUAUGUAGUUAUCUUCUUUUCAGUCGAUACAGUCAUCACCACCAAACAACAACAUCAUGAACGACAUGAACCAACGACGACCACCACUAUACCUUCCAACAAGCGGCGGAAAAUCACCUAACGGGUGCAGCGGACGACCACGGCGGGACCCAGCGAUGUGGACCACUUACAUUGAAAAUUUGCCAAUUUAAUAUGUAUAAUAUAUGCCUCGAUAACGAUUUAAAUAUUUGUUGUUAUUAUUCAAAAAGUAUGAGUCCGCGAAAUCCAUUUAAUUAUAAUAUUAUAUGCGAUCGCAGUGCGAAAUCGGAAUUUUAUUGACCUCACAAGAAAUCACGGUCUAGACUAUCGACAAUCGCCGCCGACUCGAAUAAUAUUAAUAUUAUCGCGUGAUAAAAUCGCGGUUUUCGAAAUACAUGACUGCCGCCGAGCGGAACGACCGAUGUAUUAACGACGAGCGGGUGAGGAAUAAAGCCGCUGCAGUCGUGGAGUCUGUUCGAGUUCCCCGAUAGAGUUUCACGCCACGAUCUAUCCGUAUCGAUUAGAAAGUACCUACCUAUUCAAUACGUAUUGGUACCACUAUGUCGUACAUACAUAGUAUAUAAUAUAAGUAUACCUGCUACACCUGAGGACAGGAUGACGUUAGCUGCAGUACGCACUAUACGGUACAGAAAGGUCGACGGUUCCGAUUAUUAUUCAAAGAAGUUUUCGUGGAGAACGUCAAAAAAUAUAUCAAUCGAGGACCAGAUGUGUUGAUGAUGACUUUAGACUAUCAUUGUACACUUUUUUUUUUAAAUUUUUAAAUGACGCUAUUUUAGCUUCGAGCAUGUCGAUAACAUUACAGAUCGAAAUUUUAUUUUUUGUUGUUUAAAAUCUUAAGGUAAUUUUUAGUAAUAUCGGAAAAUAAUUAUUAACUUAAUUUCACUAACAGGGAGAGAGAGAAAAAUUAUGAGUUGAUUAAACGCCAUCGCCAUGUUUACAAAUACGUAAUAUCUCGCAGAACUUUAGAUGAAAAUUGAUUUUUCUUCAUUCAAUAUAAUAUAUUUCUACUAAUAUUGUCAUAAUUAAUUUAAAAAUUAAAAAAAUAAUUUAAAUAUUUUUAACAACU